RNAcentral lists this ribosomal RNA (468 nucleotides) under uncultured bacterium. RNAcentral describes it as "partial 16S ribosomal RNA". It matches the Rfam family "Bacterial small subunit ribosomal RNA", at positions 28 to 507 of the family's 1533-position model. The record is from RNAcentral.
GACGAACGCUGGCGGCGUGCUUAACACAUGCAAGUCGAACGGAAAGGCCCUGCUUUUGUGGGGUGCUCGAGUGGCGAACGGGUGAGUAACACGUGAGUAACCUGCCCUUGACUUUGGGAUAACUUCAGGAAACUGGGGCUAAUACCGGAUAGGAGCUCCUGCUGCAUGGUGGGGGUAGGAAAGUUUCGGCGGUUGGGGAUGGACUCGCGGUUUAUCAGCUUGUUGGUGGGGUAGUGGCUUACCAAGGCUUUGACGGGUAGCCGGCCGGGGCGGGUGACCGGCCACAUUGGGACUGGGUUACGGCCCGGCCUCCUACGGGAGGCAGCAGUGGGGAAUAUUGCACAAGGGGCGGAAGCCUGAUGCAGCAACGCCGCGGGCGGGAGGACGGCCUUCGGGUUGUAACCCGCUUCCGCCUGUGACGAGGCGUGAGUGACGGUAAUGGGUAAAGAAGCACCGGCUAACUACGUG